RNAcentral lists this ribosomal RNA (281 nucleotides) under uncultured Staphylococcus sp. Its description in RNAcentral is "partial 16S ribosomal RNA". It matches the Rfam family "Bacterial small subunit ribosomal RNA", at positions 81 to 354 of the family's 1533-position model. The record is from RNAcentral. Lineage: Bacteria; Bacillati; Bacillota; Bacilli; Caryophanales; Staphylococcaceae.
CUCCUUUGACGUUAGCGGCGGACGGGUGAGUAACGCGUGGGUAACCUACCUAUAAGACUGGGAUAACUUAGGGAAACCGGAGCUAAUACCGGAUAAUAUUUCGAACCGCAUGGUUCGAUAGUGAAAGGUGGUUUUGCUAUCACUUAUAGAUGGACCCGCGCCGUAUUAGCUAGUUGGUAAGGUAACGGCUUACCAAGGCGACGAUACGUAGCCGACCUGAGAGGGUGAUCGGCCACACUGGAACUGAGACACGGUCCAGACUCCUACGGGAGGCAGCAGGC